This 514-nucleotide ribosomal RNA is filed under the name uncultured Saccharomyces. RNAcentral describes it as "eukaryotic LSU rRNA". It matches the Rfam family "Eukaryotic large subunit ribosomal RNA", at positions 62 to 578 of the family's 3401-position model. The record is from RNAcentral. Lineage: Eukaryota; Fungi; Ascomycota; Saccharomycetes; Saccharomycetales; Saccharomycetaceae.
AAACCAACCGGGAUUGCCUUAGUAACGGCGAGUGAAGCGGCAAAAAGCUCAAAUUUGAAAUCUGGUACCUUCGGUGCCCGAGUUGUAAUUUGGAGAGGGCAACUUUGGGGCCGUUCCUUGUCUAUGUUCCUUGGAACAGGACGUCAUAGAGGGUGAGAAUCCCGUGUGGCGAGGAGUGCGGUUCUUUGUAAAGUGCCUUCGAAGAGUCGAGUUGUUUGGGAAUGCAGCUCUAAGUGGGUGGUAAAUUCCAUCUAAAGCUAAAUAUUGGCGAGAGACCGAUAGCGAACAAGUACAGUGAUGGAAAGAUGAAAAGAACUUUGAAAAGAGAGUGAAAAAGUACGUGAAAUUGUUGAAUGGGAAGGGCAUUUGAUCAGACAUGGUGUUUUGUGCCCUCUGCUCCUUGUGGGUAGGGGAAUCUCGCAUUUCACUGGGCCAGCAUCAGUUUUGGUGGCAGGAUAAAUCCAUAGGAAUGUAGCUUGCCUCGGUAAGUAUUAUAGCCUGUGGGAAUACUGCC